CNUCUGGCUUAACUGGGGGCUCGCGGUGGGUACGGGCCGGCUUGAGUGCGGUAGGGGAGGCUGGAACUCCUGGUGUAGCGGUGGAAUGCGCAGAUAUCAGGAAGAACACCGGUGGCGAAGGCGGGUCUCUGGGCCGUUACUGACGCUGAGGAGCGAAAGCGUGGGGAGCGAACAGGAUUAGAUACCCUGGUAGUCCACGCCGUAAACGUUGGGCACUAGGUGUGGGGGGCCUUUUCCGGGUUUUCCGCGCCGUAGCUAACGCAUUAAGUGCCCCGCCUGGGGAGUACGGCCGCAAGGCUAAAACUCAAAGGAAUUGACGGGGGCCCGCACAAGCGGCGGAGCAUGCGGAUUAAUUCGAUGCAACGCGAAGAACCUUACCAAGGCUUGACAUGUGCCGGUCGGCUCCGGAGACGGGGUUUCCUCCUUGUGGGGCCGGUUCACAGGUGGUGCAUGGUUGUCGUCAGCUCGUGUCGUGAGAUGUUGGGUUAAGUCCCGCAACGAGCGCAACCCUUGUCUCGUGUUGCCAGCACGUUGUGGUGGGGACUCGCGGGAGACUGCCGGGGUCAACUCGGAGGAAGGUGGGGAUGACGUCAAAUCGUCAUGCCCCUUAUGUCUUGGGCUUCACGCAUGCUACAAUGGCCGGUACAGAGGGCUGCGAUACUGUGAGGUGGAGCGAAUCCCUUAAAGCCGGUCUCAGUUCGGAUCGGUGUCUGCAACUCGACACCGUGAAGUUGGAGUCGCUAGUAAUCGCAGAUCAGCAACGCUGCGGUGAAUACGUUCUCGGGCCUUGUACACACCGCCCGUCACGUCAUGAAAGU
RNAcentral lists this ribosomal RNA (818 nucleotides) under uncultured bacterium. RNAcentral describes it as "bacterial SSU rRNA". It matches the Rfam family "Bacterial small subunit ribosomal RNA", at positions 601 to 1411 of the family's 1533-position model. The record is from RNAcentral.